Molecule: ribosomal RNA, 984 nt
Filed under: Triticum aestivum (bread wheat)
Lineage: Eukaryota; Viridiplantae; Streptophyta; Magnoliopsida; Poales; Poaceae
Description: partial small subunit ribosomal RNA
Source: RNAcentral
AUGCUCCUCCUCUUCGCGCUCCUCGCCGGCGCCGGCGCCGCCGCCUUCCUCCUCUUCAAGUUCGCCACCGCCGACGGAGAUUUCACCCUCUUGUCGUGCGGCCGGGCGCGGCGGGACAAAGUGGACGGCAAGGUUGUAUGGAUCACGGGAGCGAGCCGUGGGAUUGGGGAGGUUCUUUCGAUGCAGUUUGCGAGUUUAGGAGCAAAGCUCAUACUAUCUGCACGUAACAAGGAGGAGCUUGAGAGAGUGAAACGUAACAUCAUCAGCAAGCAUCCAGAUAGCAAAGUUGAAGUGUUACCUAUGGAUUUAUCAUCUGAUGAAGAAUCUCUGAAAGAAGUUGUACAUUCAGCGGAAUCACUCUUUUCCAGUGCAGGCAUUGACUAUAUGAUGCACAAUGCGGCCUUUGAGCGUCCAAAAAGGGGGGCCCUGGAAGAAACUGAGGAAGGUCUUAAGGCUACUUUUCAUGUCAAUGUCUUUGGAACAAUUACUUUGACUCGCCUUCUUGCACCUUUCAUGUUGGAUAGAGGGAUGGGUCAUUUUGUUGUGAUGAGUAGUGCAGCUGGAAAGGUGCCCACACCUGGUCAGGCUCUUUACUCUGCUUCCAAACAUGCUCUCAAUGGCUACUUUGCUUCUCUGCGCUCUGAGUUAUGUACGAAAGGCAUUAAGGUCACUGUUGUCUGUCCUGGACCUAUUGAAACACCAGUACCUUCUGGUGCAACUUCUUCAUCACAAAGGCAUUCAUCCGAGAAACGUGUUUCAGUGGAAAGAUGUGCUGAACUGACAAUAGUUGCCGCAACUCAUGGACUAAAAGAAGCAUGGAUAUCAUAUCAGCCUGUGCUGGCUGUUAUGUACGUGGUGCAAUACAUGCCAACAAUUGGAUGGUGGCUUAUGGACAAGGUUGGUGCGAAGCGAGUGGAUGCUGCUGCAAAGAAGGGCAACGCCUACAGUUGGAAUCUCCUCUUCGGUGGCAAAAAGUCGGCUUGA